This 1250-nucleotide long non-coding RNA is filed under the name Phascolarctos cinereus (koala). Its description in RNAcentral is "lncRNA (ENSPCIG00000035544.1)". The record is from RNAcentral. Lineage: Eukaryota; Metazoa; Chordata; Mammalia; Diprotodontia; Phascolarctidae.
GUCUUUAGCAGGUCUCGGUUUGACUGAGGCAACACCCAUUAAGCAAAUUGGAAGUCUUCUUUUGUUGAUUUUAUACUCUACGUUAAACUGUCUUUCACUUUUGCCAGAUUUUCAGUUUGCCUGCCCUUUCUUUUCUGUUGUGUGUCCUCCUUCCACCCCUAGAUGUGACAAAUGUUAUUUCUGCAUUUCCUAUCGGAUAAGGAAGUCACACCUGUUAUUCAGAGUGAACAUUUUUACAGGUGACAUUUGAUUGAAAUGAACCCCCGAGGGCAAUGGGAAAUGAAGUGAAUGAGAUGUCAACAAAGAUGACAUGAGCUCCUUGAAGACUGGGUCUAGGUUGUGAAAUUCUUCAAUUUGUCUUAUUCCAACUAACACAGGCCUGGAUCCCAUUGGCAGGAAUUCUGACUUGCUAGUCGUAGACUUGCUAAUAGCAGAAUGAUUUUCCCAGGUAGGUAGGUAGGUAGUUCUAUUAUUGUCUACUCCAGAAUCCGAGAGGGAAGAAGCAGUUCUAUUACAAUGCUCUACUGCCAUUUCCUGACUACUGGUUAGGAGGAGGUAGAGGAAAAUUGUUAUUUACUGGUAAGGAAAGAGAAACACAAGGGCAAAUAAUAUCACUUGGUUUUAAGGUAGUCCUAAUAUGCAUUAUUUAAUUCUAUCCUCACAAUGACCCUGUAAUAUAAAUAGUACAAAUAUUUUUAUUCCUUUUUUCAGUUGAGGAAACUGAGGCUAAAUGACUUGCCUAAACUCAUGCAUCUGGUCAUAGCUAUAUAAUAAUAAUAGCUAGCUAAAUAAUAGCUAAAGUAAUUAUAAUUACUUUAAGAUUUGCAAAGUACUUUACAAAUGUUAUCUCAUUUUAUGUUUAUCUCACAAUAUCCCUGGGAUAUCGUGCUAUUAGCACAGGGGGUAAGUGCUAUUAUUAUCCCCACUUUAUAUUUCUCCCUUAGAGAGGUGAAGUAAUCUGCCCAAGGUCACAUAGGAAGUAUAUGUCAGAUUGGAACCAGAUUUGAACCUUUUUGAAGCCAGCCCUCUCUCUAUACUAUGCCAUGUUGCCCCCUUGAAGCCUAAUGACAUAUUAAAUCUCUAGAAUCAAAGGCUAUGGUUGUUUAGUGGUGUCUGACUCUGCAUGACCCCAUUUGGAGUUUUGUUGAUAAAGAUACUAGAAUGGUUUGCCAUUUUCCUUCUUCAGCUCAUUUUACAGAUGAAGAAACUGAGGCAGACAAAGGUCAAGUGACUUGCACAGGGUCACAUAG